This 195-nucleotide unclassified non-coding RNA is filed under the name Ambisporaceae sp. RNAcentral describes it as "partial contains 5.8S ribosomal RNA and internal transcribed spacer 2". The stretch from base 1 to 71 matches the Rfam family "5.8S ribosomal RNA", at positions 84 to 154 of the family's 154-position model. The record is from RNAcentral. Lineage: Eukaryota; Fungi; Glomeromycota; Glomeromycetes; Archaeosporales; Ambisporaceae.
GUGAAUCAUCGAAUCUUUGAACGCAUAUUGCACUCUCUGGUAUUCCGGAGAGUAUGCCUGUUUGAGGGUAAUUAAAAAGAAUCUUUAACCAAUUUUUUUUGGUUAAAGGAAUGAUCUUUCCGCGUUUAUAGCGGUAGCUUGAAAUAAAUGGUCAAAUUCCAUUUUUUUCGAGACGCGCAAUAAUAUUAUUUUCGG